GACGAACGCGGGCGGCGUGCUUAACACAUGCAAGUCGAACGGAAAGGCCUGCUUUCCCUUGUGGAUUGCGGGUACUCGAGUGGCGAACGGGUGAGUAACACGUGAGUGAUCUGCCCCCAACUUGGGUAUAAGCCUGGGAAACUGGGUCUAAUUCCCGAUAGGACUGCAGGGUGGUGCCUGUGGUGGAAAACGAUUUUCUAGUGGUUGGGGAUGAGCUCGCGGCCUAUCAGCUUGUUGGUGGGGUAAUGGCCUACCAAGGCGGCGACGGGUAGCCGGCCUGGGAGGGUGGACGGCCACAUUGGGACUGAGAUACGGCCCAGACUCCUACGGGAGGCAGCAGUGGGGAAUAUUGCACAAUGGGCGGAAGCCUGAUGCAGCGACGCCGCGUGGGGGAUGACGGCCUUCGGGUUGUAAACUCCUUUCGACCGCGAGGAAGCCACCUGGUUGGAAGGGUGGUGACGGUAGUGGUAGAAGAAGCACCGGCUAACUACGUG
Molecule: ribosomal RNA, 494 nt
Filed under: uncultured bacterium
Lineage: Bacteria
Description: partial 16S ribosomal RNA
Rfam family: Bacterial small subunit ribosomal RNA
Source: RNAcentral